Molecule: ribosomal RNA, 446 nt
Filed under: uncultured bacterium
Lineage: Bacteria
Description: partial 16S ribosomal RNA
Rfam family: Bacterial small subunit ribosomal RNA
Source: RNAcentral
CCUACGGGUGGCAGCAGUCGAGAAUCAUUCACAAUGGGGGAAACCCUGAUGGUGCGACGCCGCGUGGGGGAAUGAAGGUCUUCGGAUUGUAAACCCCUGUCAUGUGGGAGCAAAUUAAAAAGAUAGUACCACAAGAGGAAGAGACGGCUAACUCUGUGCCAGCAGCCGCGGUAAUACAGAGGUCUCAAGCGUUGUUCGGAAUCACUGGGCGUAAAGGGUGCGGAGGCUGUUUCGUAAGUCGUGUGUGAAAGGCGCGGGCUCAACCCGCGGACGGCACAUGAUACUGCGAGACUAGAGUAAUGGAGGGGGAACCGGAAUUCGCGGUGUAGCAGUGAAAUGCGUAGAUAUCGAGAGGAACACUCGUGGCGAAGGCGGGUUCCUGGACAUUAACUGACGCUGAGGCACGAAGGCCAGGGGAGCGAAAGGGAUUAGAUACCCUUGUAGUC